AGCCUGAUGGCGAGCCCGAGAGAGCCGUGCAGACAGGCCUCGAGCCCCGGAGCCCUUCUCUCCGGGGCAGUAGAGCCCCAAAGUGCUGCUUCUGCUCAUGGUGAGACCGAGUCUCGGGGAGAAGGGACUUCUCUACUGCUUCUCAUGGGGCGCCCCCAAUGACUGGCCUCGGUGACCCCGACGGGCUCCCUCCACACGUGGAGGACCUUCUCUCUGGCUGCACAGAAGCCAAGAGGGAGGCUCAGCCAUCUCUGGAGGGAGACCAUGGAGGGGCAGCCUCUGGAACAACCCAGGUCCUCUGGGAGGUCCCCUGAGGGCGACCUGGUGUGGUCCAAAGAGACCCCCAGGGACAGCUCCUCCGUGAGCCGCGUCCUUCCUUGUUCCGGGCCGCCAGGGACAAUGAUCGGGGACCCACGCGGUGCCUGAGAUGGAGCCAAUGUGGACCUGGGCCAGGCGGAGAGAGGCCGCCUGGGAGGGCAGCGCUUCAGAGCCUCCUUGGCAGCAGGAAGCUCCCGAGGGAGGAUGCUGUGGACUGGCUGCCUGCCUGGUGGUCAGGCUGGCUCCUUCUGGUUUGCUUCUAGCCAUCUGGACUCCUUCCGCCAGCCGCCUCCCCAUAUAUAGACCCGAGAGACCCGGGACCGGCUACUCCUGGGAUCUCGGCAAGCAGGACUCGGGGUCCCAAGUGGCCAGGUGAGAGCCCCGCCGGCCCCUCUGAAUGGCCAGCCUCGAGUUCUCCUGCGGGUGCUGAGGAGGGCGAGCCACGAAGGAGGACCCAAAGCCUCCCCCCGUAGGGCCGCUCACUGGUUCUGGGAGCCCUCCCAUCCCGGGGAAGGCCUGACUCCCACUUAGAUCCCGGCUGGAGGGCUGGGGCUGGGGGAGGGGGAGCCCCGAGACGCCCUCCCCAGUCUCAGGCAGCUUCGGGUCUGGGGGGUCUCCCUGUAGGAGGAUGGGGCUGAUCUCGGACCUUCCCUGCCUCUUGUCUGGCUGUCUGCUGCUCAGCACUCUUGGGGAAGGCGCUGUGGCCAACAAGACGAGCACCCGGAGCAGGUGCCCUCCCGACUACGUCUACAUCAGUGGCUGGUGCUAUGUCGCCUUUGGGGACCUCCUCAGCUGGUCAGAAGCUUACCUCGAAUGCGCGAGGCUGACAGAAGGCGCUUCCCUGGCGACCAUUAGAAAUGAGCAGGACCAGCAGAUCUUGGGCCACCUGCUGGCCAGCACCACGGCCAGGAAGCAGGCCUGGAUCGGCCUCCGAAGAUCCAACGGUUAUCGCUGGGUGUGGGUCGACGGGAGCAGAUUCAGGUUGCAGCCCUUCGAUCUCCUGCCCUGGUCCGCAGGGUACGACUGCGCCGUGCUGGACACCAGCGGAGACUCACCAACUUGGGUGGCAGAGUCCUGCAGCAAUAAAAACUCCUUCAUCUGUCAAAUGCCCACCUAGAAAAGCUGAGUGGAGCCUGAGACUCAAUGGCCAGGGAACUAAAGUCUUCCCCGAGCUUCUGGCUACUGAGGCACAGUGUGUCUGCUUUUUCUCCAUUAAAACCUUCGUUUUUCCUCCUGGAGGUGUUUGUAUGGGCAGACUCUCCAGGUCUUUCAUUUCUUUCUUUCAUCCCAAGUCCCCAGUGAAAUUCUCUGUGAUCCAAUAA
Molecule: long non-coding RNA, 1640 nt
Organism: Monodelphis domestica (gray short-tailed opossum)
Lineage: Eukaryota; Metazoa; Chordata; Mammalia; Didelphimorphia; Didelphidae
Source: Ensembl